This 370-nucleotide ribosomal RNA is filed under the name Reticulitermes flaviceps. RNAcentral describes it as "partial 16S ribosomal RNA". It matches the Rfam family "Bacterial large subunit ribosomal RNA", at positions 1950 to 2522 of the family's 2925-position model. The record is from RNAcentral. Lineage: Eukaryota; Metazoa; Arthropoda; Insecta; Blattodea; Rhinotermitidae.
GCAAAGGUAGCAUAGUCAUUAGUUCUUUAAUUGUGAUCUGGUAUGAAUGGCUUGACGAGGCAUGGGCUGUCUUAAUUUUGAAUUGUUUAUUGAAUUUGGUCUUUGAGUUAAAAUUCUUAGAUGUUUUUAUGGGACGAGAAGACCCUAUAGAGUUUAACAUUUGUUAUGGUCCCAUUUCUGUUUGUGAGGGUUCACUGGGCCAUUUAAUAUGUUUUGUUGGGGUGAUGGGAGGGAUUAAUUUAACCCCUCCUUUUUAUUAUUAUAUUUAUUUAUAUUUACUUGAUCCAUUUAUUUUGAUUGUAAGAUUAAAUUACCUUAGGGAUAACAGCGUUAUCUUCCUUGAGAGUUCUUAUCGGCAGGAGGGAUUGCG